GAUGAACGCUGGCGGCGUGCCUAAUACAUGCAAGUCGAGCGAACGGACGAGAAGCUUGCUUCUCUGAUGUUAGCGGCGGACGGGUGAGUAACACGUGGAUAACCUACCUAUAAGACUGGGAUAACUUCGGGAAACCGUAGCUAAUACCGGAUAAUAUUUUGAACCGCAUGGUUCAAAAGUGAAAGACGGUCUUGCUGUCACUUAUAGAUGGAUCCGCGCUGCAUUAGCUAGUUGGUAAGGUAACGGCUUACCAAGGCAACGAUGCAUAGCCGACCUGAGAGGGUGAUCGGCCACACUGGAACUGAGACACGGUCCAGACUCCUACGGGAGGCAGCAGUAGGGAAUCUUCCGCAAUGGGCGAAAGCCUGACGGAGCGACGCCGCGUGAGUGAUGAAGGUCUUCGGAUCGUAAAACUCUGUUAUUAGGGAAGAACAUAUGUGUAAGUAACUGUGCACAUCUUGACGGUACCUAAUCAGAAAGCCACGGCUAACUACGUG
RNAcentral lists this ribosomal RNA (497 nucleotides) under uncultured bacterium. Its description in RNAcentral is "partial 16S ribosomal RNA". It matches the Rfam family "Bacterial small subunit ribosomal RNA", at positions 28 to 507 of the family's 1533-position model. The record is from RNAcentral.